GUUUUAUUAUACAUUAUAUGUUGUACAACAACCAUUCAAAAAAAAAAGCAUCAGGUUUCAUACGAAAGGGUACAUAGGAAGCACCAACCCGUUGUAACCCAAACCCCCAGAGGGAGUUUGGGAGGGAGGGCAUUUCCUACAAGAAGUGCACAUGGGGUUGUGAUGGAAAUUUUUGAAAUGUCCGAGGAGUGCACCGUUUGCCUUGUAAGAAAAACAAGGCCAGCAACAUCCUCAAGGCGCUUCAGUAAUGAUCCUUCCGCAGGUUCACCUACGGAAA
RNAcentral lists this unclassified non-coding RNA (277 nucleotides) under uncultured fungus. Its description in RNAcentral is "sequence contains ITS1". Lineage: Eukaryota; Fungi. The record is from RNAcentral.